Molecule: ribosomal RNA, 492 nt
Filed under: uncultured bacterium
Lineage: Bacteria
Description: partial 16S ribosomal RNA
Rfam family: Bacterial small subunit ribosomal RNA
Source: RNAcentral
AGUGAACGCUGGCGGUAGGCCUAACACAUGCAAGUCGAACGGCAGCACAGUAAGAGCUUGCUCUUACGGGUGGCGAGUGGCGGACGGGUGAGGAAUACAUCGGAAUCUACUUUUUCGUGGGGGAUAACGUAGGGAAACUUACGCUAAUACCGCAUACGACCUACGGGUGAAAGCAGGGGAUCUUCGGACCUUGCGCGAUUGAAUGAGCCGAUGUCGGAUUAGCUAGUUGGCGGGGUAAAGGCCCACCAAGGCGACGAUCCGUAGCUGGACUGAGAGGAUGAUCAGCCACACUAGAACUGAGACACGGUCCAGACUCCUACGGGAGGCAGCAGUGGGGAAUAUUGGACAAUGGGCGCAAGCCUGAUCCAGCCAUACCGCGUGGGUGAAGAAGGCCUUCGGGUUGUAAAGCCCUUUUGUUGGGAAAGAAAAGCAGCAGGUUAAUACCCCGCUGUUCUGACGGUACCCAAAGAAUAAGCACCGGCUAACUUCGUG